RNAcentral lists this ribosomal RNA (1178 nucleotides) under uncultured bacterium. Its description in RNAcentral is "bacterial SSU rRNA". It matches the Rfam family "Bacterial small subunit ribosomal RNA", at positions 31 to 1219 of the family's 1533-position model. The record is from RNAcentral.
UGGGACUUGCGGCGUGCUUACCAUGCAAGUCGAACGGGAUCCAUCGCCGUAGCUUGCUACAUGAUGGAUCUAGUGGCGAACGGGUGAGUAACACGUGGGCAAUCUGCCCCGAAGACCGGGAUAACACGGGGAAACCCGUGCUAAUACCGGAUAACCUGCCUUUCCCGCAUGGCAUCGGCAGAAAAAGGAAGUUUACUUCCGCUUCGGGAUGAGCCCGCGGCCCAUUAGCUUGUCGGUGAGGUAACGGCUCACCGAGGCGACGAUGGGUAGCCGGCCUGAGAGGGUGACCGGCCACACUGGGACUGAGAUACGGCCCAGACUCCUACGGGAGGCAGCAGUGGGGAAUAUUGCGCAAUGGACGAAAGUCUGACGCAGCGACGCCGCGUGGGCGAAGAAGGCCUUCGGGUUGUAAAGCCCUGUCAGGGGGGACGAAGGCGCAAGCUGACGGUACCUCCAGAGGAAGCCCCGGCCAACUACGUGCCAGCAGCCGCGGUAAUACGUAGGGGGCGAGCGUUGUCCGGAAUCAUUGGGCGUAAAGAGCACGUAGGCGGCCUGUCAAGUCAGAUGUGAAAACCCGGGGCUCAACUUCGGGACUGCAUUUGAAACUGGCAAGCUAGAGUCCAGUAGAGGAAAGUGGAAUUCCCAGUGUAGCGGUGUAAUGCGCAGAUAUUGGGAAGAACACCGGUGGCGAAGGCGGCUUUCUGGGCUGUGACUGACGCUGAGGUGCGAAAGCUAGGGGAGCAAACAGGAUUAGAUACCCUGGUAGUCCUAGCCGUAAACGAUGGGCACUAGGUGUGGGGAGUGUCAACUCUUUCCGUGCCGAAGCUAACGCAUUAAGUGCCCCGCCUGGGGAGUACGGUCGCAAGGCUAAAACUCAAAGGAAUUGACGGGGGCCCGCACAAGCGGCGGAGCAUGUGGCUUAAUUCGACGCAACGCGAAGAACCUUACCAGGGCUUGACAUGCUUCUGAAAGGCGUGGAAACACGCCCCCCUUUAUGGCAGUUGCACAGGUGGUGCAUGGCUGUCGUCAGCUCGUGUCGUGAGAUGUUGGGGUAAGUCCCGCAACGAGCGCAACCCUUGUCCUGCGUGCAGCGAUCGGCGGGACUCACAGAGACUGCGUGACAACGAGAGGUGGGGGACGACGUCAAGUCAUCAUGCCCUUAUGCCUCUGGGCUGCAA